RNAcentral lists this ribosomal RNA (158 nucleotides) under Fusarium proliferatum. Its description in RNAcentral is "partial 28S ribosomal RNA". It matches the Rfam family "Eukaryotic large subunit ribosomal RNA", at positions 3242 to 3399 of the family's 3401-position model. The record is from RNAcentral. Lineage: Eukaryota; Fungi; Ascomycota; Sordariomycetes; Hypocreales; Nectriaceae.
CGCUCGAAGCGCGUCGUGGUAUUUCGCGUAUUGUAAUUUCAACACGAGCGGGGUCAAAUCCUUUGCAGACGACUUAGCUGUGCGAAACGGUCCUGUAAGCAGUAGAGUAGCCUUGUUGUUACGAUCUGCUGAGGGUAAGCCGUCCUUCGCCUCGAUUU